Molecule: long non-coding RNA, 924 nt
Organism: Melanotaenia boesemani (Boeseman's rainbowfish)
Lineage: Eukaryota; Metazoa; Chordata; Actinopteri; Atheriniformes; Melanotaeniidae
Exons: 11
Source: RefSeq, a predicted model, not a curated record
UGCGCACUUCGUCCUUCCUCAUUCGUCGCUCGUCUGUUGGAAGAGUCGAUGGUGCAUGAUGGAGAUGGAGGGACACAUCGCGUGGUCAACGUGGAGCGCUGUAUGUGGAAAUCUGUUCUCAGGAUGCCAGACAAAUCUAGAGACUUGAACAAACAUUAACAUGGAGAUAGACCCCUCAAAUAAACUUGGACCACAAGGAGAGGUGGUGGUGGUGAUGUCCUUGUGUUCGGAUGUUGGUUCUUGGCUCAGUUGCAGGCAGUCGUCUUCAACAGGCUAAAUGAAGGCAUGGGCACAUCGCUGAAGGAUGCAUUGCUGAUGGACUCCACGGCUUUGCUGAGCAUGUGGGAUUGUGACUAGUCGUGUUGCAGAGGAUUGUCAACAUGGUUUAAUCAAAGUCUGGGGCUUCAUUUUCUUAACAAUUGACAAUAAGGGAGGAGGAAUCUGUUCUUGAACUGGUAAGUAUCUGCAUACCAUUAAGUGCCAUAGCAUUUAUAGAAAAUGUCUUUUUAUGCUGUAGCUGGAGGCUAGUGACCAUUUUACCAGUGAUGACAGAUUCUGCCAAAUGAUUUAAUGAUUAUAACCCUUACCGUUCCAUUUUCUCUGAGGUUGUAUGGUCAAUAUUUACUUUUGAGUUUUGUCAGUUUUAUUUCUUUAUAUAUUUUUAAUUCAUGAUAUCUCUUGCAGCUGUCACGAGCGAGCAUGGUGCUGAGUCAGGAGGCUGCAGGGGGAGAAAUGGUGGUGCUAAAUUUAGACUCAUGUCUGGCUGUAGGUGAAAUAAUGGGAACUGUUUAAAAGAUCAUACAGCAAAAAGUUCCUCGAGUUUGUAAUAUGAAGAUUUAUGUGCCAUUUUUUGAAUAUGACCUUGUAUGAUUUUGAUUUUGCAUUUAUUUUGUAACAUUGCAAUAAUAAAGUCUUGUCUGAUUA